UGGGGUGUAGCCAAGUGGUAAGGCAGCUGUUUUUGGUACAGUGUAUCGUAGGUUCGAAUCCUACCACCCCAG
RNAcentral lists this transfer RNA (72 nucleotides) under Actibacterium atlanticum. It matches the Rfam family "tRNA". Rfam says of the family: Transfer RNA (tRNA) molecules are approximately 80 nucleotides in length. Lineage: Bacteria; Pseudomonadati; Pseudomonadota; Alphaproteobacteria; Rhodobacterales; Roseobacteraceae. The record is from Rfam by way of RNAcentral. RNAcentral also lists the same sequence under 1 other name.